GGUGGCUUGAUGGAGAUUCACAAAAGUCAUAUCAAGAAAUUGUAAUGAGGAAAGACUAGAAAUCCAAUCCAAAUUCUCAACGUAUGGCUCAGAGUAAUAAAAAUAAUAAUAACUAUGGAGAUUAAGAUAGUUCAAAUUUGAGAGAUUGCCAAGUUGAUGAGGAAUCAUUCCUCCGAAUCCUGCUUUAGAGAGGUCAAGGUGUCUUAAUGUCUCCACAGAGCCAAGGAAUUUGGGAAUUUCCUUCAAAAUUAUUCUUGCUUAGGUCUAGGUACUUCAGAUGCUUAAACUCGAGUAAGGAUUGACUAAUCUUACCUUGGAAUGCCGACCUUGCCCA
Molecule: unclassified non-coding RNA, 334 nt
Filed under: Hevea brasiliensis (rubber tree)
Lineage: Eukaryota; Viridiplantae; Streptophyta; Magnoliopsida; Malpighiales; Euphorbiaceae
Source: RNAcentral